CGCUGGCGGCGUGCUUAACACAUGCAAGUCGAACGAGACGAUUUAGAAGCUUGCUUUUAUUGAGUCGAGUGGCGAACGGGUGAGUAACACGUGGGUUAUCUGCCUUCAAGUUGGGGAUAACAGUUAGAAAUGACUGCUAAUACCGAAUGUGCUAGUAAUAGUAAAGGAGCCCUUAAAGCUUCGCUUGAAGAUGAGCCUGCGGUGUAUUAGCUUGUUGGCGGGGUAACGGCCCACCAAGGCGACGAUCAGUAGCCGGUCUGAGAGGAUGAACGGCCACAUUGGAACUGAGACACGGUCCAGACUCCUACGGGAGGCAGCAGUGGGGAAUCUUCCGCAAUGGGCGCAAGCCUGACGGAGCAACGCCGCGUGAGUGAAGAAGGGUUUCGGCUCGUAAAGCUCUGUUGAAGGGGACGAACGGUAGGCAUAGGAAAUGAUGCUUAUUUGACGGUACCUUUCGAGGAAGCCACGGCUAACUACGUG
RNAcentral lists this ribosomal RNA (480 nucleotides) under uncultured bacterium. Its description in RNAcentral is "bacterial SSU rRNA". It matches the Rfam family "Bacterial small subunit ribosomal RNA", at positions 34 to 507 of the family's 1533-position model. The record is from RNAcentral.